AGUGAACGCUGGCGGCGUGCUUAACACAUGCAAGUCGGACGAGAACGGAUUAUAGCUUGCUAUAAUUGUCAGCUAAGUGGCGCACGGGUGAGUAAUGUAUAGGUAAUAUGCCUCUUACUAUGGGAUGACAAAUGGAAACGUUUGCUAAUACCUUAUACUCCUUAUGAACAUUAGUUAAUAAGGGAAAGACUUAAUGGUAAGAGAUUAGCCUGUAUUGUAUCAGUUAGUUGGUGGGGUAAUGGUUUACAAAGACUAUGACUCAUAACUGGUUUGAGAGGAUAAUCAGUCAAAAUGGAACUGAGACACGGUCCAGACUCGUACGGGAGGAAGCAGUAGAGAAUAUUGGACAAUGGACGGAAGUCUGAUGCAGCAACGCCGCGUGGAGGAUAGCAAAUUUAGGUGCGUGAACUCCUUUUAUAUGAGAAGAUAAUGACGGUAUUAUAUGAAUAAGCACAGGCUAACUCCGUGCCAGCCGCCGCCAUAC
Molecule: ribosomal RNA, 484 nt
Filed under: uncultured bacterium
Lineage: Bacteria
Description: partial 16S ribosomal RNA
Rfam family: Bacterial small subunit ribosomal RNA
Source: RNAcentral